RNAcentral lists this ribosomal RNA (1144 nucleotides) under uncultured fungus. RNAcentral describes it as "eukaryotic LSU rRNA". The stretch from base 435 to 1144 matches the Rfam family "Eukaryotic large subunit ribosomal RNA", at positions 1 to 649 of the family's 3401-position model. The record is from RNAcentral. Lineage: Eukaryota; Fungi.
AAGUCGUAACAAGGUUUCCGUAGGUGAACCUGCGGAAGGAUCAUUACAAAUCAUAAGCCGCAAGGCCGAUAUGUUCGGUGCAGCAAUGCAUCGUUUCGCGCUUGUAUGUUUGACAGAGUAAUGUUGGAUACACAUAAAGAGACAACUUUUAACAAUGGAUCUCUUGGCUCUUGCAACGAUGAAGAACGCAGUAAAGUGCGAUAUAUAGUGCGAUUUGCAUGAAUCUGUGAGUCAUCUAGUCUUUGAACGCAACUUGCGCCUCUUUGAGGCAUGUCUGUUUGAGUACCGCAUACCAAAUGCAGCAAUGCAACUUGGUCAGAUUAAUAAUUUGACUAAAACGUAGCCAGAUAAGGAGUAUUGUCUUUUCCUUGAUGAGUUAGGACGCAAGUCUUUCAUCAACAGGAUUACUUCAGCUCCCAUCAAACUUAGUAAAUUGGUCUCAAAUCAGGCAAGACUACCCGCUGAACUUAAGCAUAUCAGUAAGCGGAGGAAAAGAAACUAACAAGGAUUCCCUCAGUAACGGCGAGUGAAGCGGGAAAAGCUCAAAGUUAAAAUCUCGGCUCUUUGGGCCGCGAAUUGUAGACUAAAGAAGGUAAUCAAGAAAGGAUGGCUGACCAAGUUCAUUGGAAUAUGGCACCAGAGAGGGUGAGAGUCCCGUCAAGUCAGCCGGAAUUUUAAUACGAGAACCUUUCAACGAGUCGAGUUGCUUGGGAAUGCAGCUCGAAGUGGGUGGUAAAUCUCAUCUAAGGCUAAAUAUUGGCAAGAGACCGAUAGCGAACAAGUACCGUGAGGGAAAGAUGAAAAGCACCUUGAAAAGGGAGUUAAAUAGUACGUGAAAUUGUUAAAAGGGAAACGAUCGAGAUCAGUAUUGAGAUUGAGUUCAAUACAAGGCUUGGCCUUGUAAGCGACUUGACCUCGAGUCAAUGCCAGUUGUGAGGGAGAUAAACGUAGUCUCGGAAGGUGGGGAAGCUUCUGCUUUUCUUUAUAGCCUUGACUAAAUAUUUCAAUUGCGACCGGAAAGAUAGGGAACGUUAGGGACGAGUGAUUAAAGCUUGGUUCUAGACAGCUUGCUGACUAGUUCCCCGUUCUAAGCACAACUCUUUACCCGACUUUAUCGCUUUUGACGAAAUGGUCUUGAACGACC